This is a long non-coding RNA of Oncorhynchus tshawytscha (Chinook salmon), 804 nucleotides long. The record is from Ensembl. NCBI's taxonomy places the organism in Eukaryota, Metazoa, Chordata, Actinopteri, Salmoniformes, Salmonidae.
AGUAGUGCACUAUAUAGGGAAUAGGGCCCUGGUCUAUAGUAGUGUACUAUAUAGGGAAUAGGGCCCUGGUCUAUAGUAGUGCACUAUAUAGGGAAUAGGGCCCUGGUCUAGUAUAGUGCACUAUAUAGGGAAUAGGGUUCUGGUCUAUAGUAUUGCACUAUAUAGGGAAUAGGGCCCUGGUCUAAAGUAGUGCACUAUAUAGGGAAUAGGGCCCUGGUCUAUAGUAGUGUACUAUAUAGGGAAUAGGGCUCUGGUCUAAAGUAGUGCACUAUAUAGGGAAUAGGGCCCUGGUCUAUAGUAGUGUACUAUAUAGGGAAUAGGGCUCUGGUCUAAAGUAGUGCACUAUAUAGGGAAUAGGGCCCUGGUCUAUAGUAGUGUACUAUAUAGGGAAUAGGGCCCUGGUCUAUAGUAGUGCACUAUAUAGGGAAUAGGGCUCUGGUCUAAAGUAGUGCACUAUAUAGGGAAUAGGGUUCUGGUCUAUAGUAUUGCACUAUAUAGGGAAUAGGGCCCUGGUCUAAAGUAGUGCACUAUAUAGGGAAUAGGGCCCUGGUCUAUAGUAGUGUACUAUAUAGGGAAUAGGGCCCUGGUCUAAAGUAGUGCACUAUAUAGGGAAUAGGGCCCUGGUCUAAAGUAGUGCACUAUAUAGGGAAUAGGGCCCUGGUCUAAAGUAGUGCACUAUAUAGGGAAUAGGGCCCUGGUCUAAAGUAGUGUACUAUAUAGGGAAUAGGGCCCUGGUCUAAAGUAGUGCACUAUAUAGGGAAUAGGGCCCUGGUCUAUAGUAGUGCACUAUAUAGGGAAUAGGGU